This 361-nucleotide unclassified non-coding RNA is filed under the name uncultured fungus. RNAcentral describes it as "sequence contains ITS1". The stretch from base 1 to 105 matches the Rfam family "5.8S ribosomal RNA", at positions 50 to 154 of the family's 154-position model. Lineage: Eukaryota; Fungi. The record is from RNAcentral.
AAAGUGCGAUAAGCAAUGCGAAUUGCAGAAUUCCGCGAAUCAUCAGAUCCUUGAACGCAACUGGCGCUAGGGGGCUCUCUCCCUAGCAUGUCUGUUUCAGUGUCUGAAAACAUCAUAUAAACUUAAUGUGAUUGACAAAGAAGAAGAUCUAUUAACUCUUCUUACUAAGUCUUUCAUGAAAGAUGUGCAUGUGGGUCUUUGGACUCCUCAUCGGAUUUUGGUCACUGUCUCCAGUGAUUUCGAUAGAGGAGUGUUUCUUUCUUUAAAGAAACUAACUCAAUUACCCGAAAUUACAUGCAAGAAUUAUUUUCAUCAUCAAACUCUGCAUCUGAAAUUAGGCAAGAUCACCCGCUGAACUUAA